CACGGCCCAGACUCCUACGGGAGGCAGCAUAGGGAAUCUUCCACAAUGGACGAAAGUCUGAUGGAGCAACGCCGCGUGAGUGAUGAAGGUUUUCGGAUCGUAAAACUCUGUUGUAAGGGAAGAACACGUACGAGAGGAAAUGCUCGUACCUUGACGGUACCUUACGAGAAAGCCACGGCUAACUACGUGCCAGCAGCCGCGGUAAUACGUAGGUGGCAAGCGUUGUCCGGAAUUAUUGGGCGUAAAGCGCGCGCAGGCGGCCUUUUAAGUCUGAUGUGAAAGCCCCCGGCUCAACCGGGGAGGGCCAUUGGAAACUGGAAGGCUUGAGUACAGAAGAGAAGAGUGGAAUUCCACGUGUAGCGGUGAAAUGCGUAGAGAUGUGGAGGAACACCAGUGGCGAAAGCGACUCUUUGGUCUGUAACUGACGCUGAGCGCGAAAGCGUGGGGAGCAAACAGGAUUAGAUACCCUGGGUAGUCCACGCCGUAAACGAUGAGUGCUAGGUGUUGGGGGGGUUUCCGCCCCUCAGUGCUGAAGCUAACGCAUUAAGCACUCCGGCCUGGGGGAGUACCGGCCGCAACGCUGAAACUCAAG
RNAcentral lists this ribosomal RNA (592 nucleotides) under Exiguobacterium indicum. Its description in RNAcentral is "bacterial SSU rRNA". It matches the Rfam family "Bacterial small subunit ribosomal RNA", at positions 325 to 905 of the family's 1533-position model. The record is from RNAcentral. Lineage: Bacteria; Bacillati; Bacillota; Bacilli; Caryophanales.